GAUGAACGCUAGCUACAGGCUUAACACAUGCAAGUCGAGGGGAAACGAUAUUGGAAGCUUGCUUCCGAUAGGCGUCGACCGGCGCACGGGUGAGUAACGCGUAUCCAACCUGCCCACCACUUGGGGAUAACCUUGCGAAAGUAAGACUAAUACCCAAUGACGUCCAUAGAAGACAUCUGAAAUGGAUUAAAGAUUCAUCGGUGAUGGAUGGGGAUGCGUCUGAGUAGCUUGUUGGUGGGGUAACGGCCCACCAAGGCGACGAUCAGUAGGGGUGCUGAGAGGAAGGUCCCCCACAUGGGAACUGAGAAACGGUCAAAACUCCUACGGGAGGCAGCAGUGAGGAAUAUUGGUCAAUGGGCGAGAGCCUGAACCAGCCAAGUAGCGUGCAGGAUGACGGCCCUAUGGGUUGUAAACUGCUUUUAUAAGGGAAUAAAGUGGGAGUCGUGACUCUUUUUGCAUGUACCUUAUGAAUAAGGACCAGCUAAUUCCGUGCCAGCCGCCGCCGUAA
This 508-nucleotide ribosomal RNA is filed under the name uncultured bacterium. RNAcentral's name for it is "partial 16S ribosomal RNA". It matches the Rfam family "Bacterial small subunit ribosomal RNA", at positions 28 to 523 of the family's 1533-position model. The record is from RNAcentral.